CAACGGGAAGAGCGGCAAGCUCAAUUUGAAAUCCUGCGGGAAUUGUAAUUUGAAGGUUUCGUGGUCUGAGUCGGCCGCGCCCAAGUCCAUUGGAACAUGGCGCCUGGGAGGGUGAGAGCCCCGUAUGGCGCACGCCGACUCUUUGCACCGCGGCUCCGACGAGUCGAGUUGUUUGGGAAUGCAGCUCUAAGUGGGUGGUAAAUUCCAUCUAAAGCUAAAUAUUGGCGAGAGACCGAUAGCGAACAAGUACAGUGAUGGAAAGAUGAAAGCACUUUGAAAGAAGUGAAACAGCAGUGAAAUUGUUGAAGGAAGGCUUGCAGAAAAGGUUUAACGGGCAGCGCAAAGGGGGAGAACAAACUCAAAGGGGCGACUUGGCGCGUGUAACCGGUGACCUCAUCCUUUCAG
Molecule: ribosomal RNA, 405 nt
Filed under: Candida tropicalis
Lineage: Eukaryota; Fungi; Ascomycota; Pichiomycetes; Serinales; Debaryomycetaceae
Description: eukaryotic LSU rRNA
Rfam family: Eukaryotic large subunit ribosomal RNA
Source: RNAcentral